CAUUAGAUGACUGAAAGUAAGUACUGGUCUCUUAAACCAUUUUAUAGUAAUUCACAACUACUUCUAAUG
RNAcentral lists this transfer RNA (69 nucleotides) under Staphylinoidea sp. 7 KM-2017. Its description in RNAcentral is "tRNA-Lys". The record is from RNAcentral. Lineage: Eukaryota; Metazoa; Arthropoda; Insecta; Coleoptera.